AAGGCCUGAUGUGUGUGAGAUUACCCGCUGAAUUUAAGCAUAUAAGUAAGCGGAGGAAAAGAAACUAACUAGGAUUCCCUUAGUAAUGGCGAAUGAACAGGGAUCAGCUCAGUGCCAAAUCGGAAUCACUUGUGGUUCUGAAAUGUGGCUUGAAGGCAGUACCAGUGGCAUCGCGGACGAAAGUCUCUUGGAAAAGAGCGUCAUAGAGGGUGAGAAUCCCGUGAGUCGUUCGCCGUUUGUCACGUACGGUCUGCGUUCUAACGAGUCGCGUUCCUUGGGAUUGGAGCGUAAACGGGUGGUAAAUUUCAUCCAAAGCAAAAUAUAUACUCGAGACCGAUAGCACAAAAGUACCGUGAGGGAAAGUGAAAAGAACUUUGAGAAGAGGGUUAAAUAGUGCCUGAAAUCGUUGAGAAGGAAGCGGAUGCCGCCGUUGCAUAUGCUGAUUGUAGGAUUGCUGCUCGCUCCUGUCUUCUGCUACUCAUUCACAGACCUGGUCG
Molecule: non-coding RNA, 497 nt
Filed under: Perkinsus marinus ATCC 50983
Lineage: Eukaryota; Perkinsozoa; Perkinsida; Perkinsidae
Description: Eukaryotic large subunit ribosomal RNA
Rfam family: Eukaryotic large subunit ribosomal RNA
Source: Rfam by way of RNAcentral